Molecule: ribosomal RNA, 254 nt
Filed under: uncultured bacterium
Lineage: Bacteria
Description: partial 16S ribosomal RNA
Rfam family: Bacterial small subunit ribosomal RNA
Source: RNAcentral
UACGGGGGGAGCAAGCGUUGUUCGGAUUUACUGGGCGUAAAGGGCGCGUAGGCGGUCAGCACAAGUCAGUUGUGAAAUCUCCGGGCUUAACUCGGAAAGGUCAACUGAUACUGUGCGACUAGAGUGCAGAAGGGGCAACUGGAAUUCUCGGUGUAGCGGUGAAAUGCGCAGAUAUCAGGAGGAACACCGGUGGCGAAGGCGGAUCUCUGGGCCAUUACUGACGCUGAGGAGCGAAAGCGUGGGGAGCGAACAGG